UUUUAACCGAUGUUUGGAUGAGGAAAUGAAGGUAAAGCUAUCUACGUUGUAAUUUGGUGAAUUUUACAGAUGGCUAUUGUGGGAGCCAAUAGGAGGAUUUUUUUUUAUGAAAAACGGUAAAGUUAAAUGGUUUAACUCAGAAAAAGGUUUUGGAUUCAUCGAAGCAGAAGACGGAAAUGACGUAUUCGUUCAUUACUCUGCAAUCCAAACUGAAGGUUUCAAAACUUUAGAAGAAGGUCAAGAAGUUUCUUUCGAAGUUGUUGAAGGAGCUCGUGGACCACAAGCUGCUAACGUAACUAAGAAGUAAUUUAUUACGCUAACACAUAUAGCAGUCCGGUGAUAAUGCCGGACUGUUUUU
This 358-nucleotide small RNA is filed under the name Neobacillus massiliamazoniensis. RNAcentral's name for it is "Bacillus sp. LF1 cspA thermoregulator". It matches the Rfam family "cspA thermoregulator", at positions 114 to 428 of the family's 428-position model. Lineage: Bacteria; Bacillati; Bacillota; Bacilli; Caryophanales; Bacillaceae. The record is from Rfam by way of RNAcentral.